Molecule: non-coding RNA, 1171 nt
Organism: Pelobates cultripes (western spadefoot toad)
Lineage: Eukaryota; Metazoa; Chordata; Amphibia; Anura; Pelobatidae
Source: the annotation of a GenBank genome assembly
CACAUAUUAAGAAACAAAAAAAAAAAAAACAAGCGACACAUAUUAGAAGCUAAAGCUUUUUAAUAAACAGAAUUGAUUCAAAGCCACAAUAUGAGCAGCAGGACUUGGGUUGCAGGGAACUUUGUAGAAAAGUGAUCAUGUUUUGAAUGUAUUUUCCUGUAUUGUAAAUCCCAAUUUACUACUCUGUCAACAAAUAGAUGGAGAUUUGUUCACACAUUCACCUAUGUUCCUCCCAUCUUGCACAUCUCCCACCCACUCCCCUCGAAAAACACUUUUUUAAAGAAGACAUUUGCUUUUGGAAAGGCACAACCACAGCAAGGGAGGCCACAUGGUUUUAACCAGUUUACAUUGACAGCCUCUUUCUGGUACAUCUGGUAACCCAAUCAGCAUGUGGCAAAAAAAUAAAUUAAACAAAAAGCAAAGCCAUUAUCCAGUUAUAAACAACUGACUUAAUGGACCUUGAAGAAUGAAUCAUUGCUAGUACUUACUUUACAAUUUCUGUUAAGUGCUCAAAAACAAACAUUUGGUAGACUGAUAACUAGUAGUGGUCCUUGAGAUCUAUAAUUGUAACCACCAACUAACUGGAAUAAUGGGGACCAAUGAAGAAAAAAAACAAAAAACAGACUCAGUACAUGAUUAAAACCCUUCCACGCCAAUAGAAACAGUAUUCAGUCUGGCAGAAAGGUGUUAAUAAUCACUUCAUAAGACUGUGUCCCCAAAAUAAAAAAUAAAAAAUUUGCAUCCCCAGGUCCAAGUUAUUCCUGUUUGUGGGUUAAAAGGCAAAAAGGUGUUGUCUGGCAAUAUGUGUCAAUGUAUGUGUUCUGGGAAAGGCGGGAUGUUCUCAAGUCAACAUUGACAGCUUUUAAGAUUACUACAACUACUACUGUACAUUAAAACAAAAAUAUAUAAUUUGUCCUGUGGCAAGGUGGAAUAAAUAAUGCGAAAGGGGUCCAUCACACACCAAACAUUUUUAUAGUAGAAAACGCAUUUGAGAGACUCACAAUGAGGGGUACUUCAGGCUAGUGCAUUUUAGUCCCUAAACCAUUAUCAUCUAAAUCCUUUGAGUGGCACUCAAUGGUUAUAAUCUUUGAUUCUGCAGACAGAGAAAUACAACACAAAACAGUCAUCUUAACACUUACACUAUAGAUCAAAAAGGAAAGAAUUCUCAAAA